Molecule: ribosomal RNA, 744 nt
Filed under: uncultured bacterium
Lineage: Bacteria
Description: bacterial SSU rRNA
Rfam family: Bacterial small subunit ribosomal RNA
Source: RNAcentral
ACGCUGGCGGCAGGCCUAACACAUGCAAGUCGAGCGGUAGAGAGAAGCUUGCUUCUCUUGAGAGCGGCGGACGGGUGAGUAAUGCCUAGGAAUCUGCCUGGUAGUGGGGGAUAACGUUCGGAAACGGACGCUAAUACCGCAUACGUCCUACGGGAGAAAGCAGGGGACCUUCGGGCCUUGCGCUAUCAGAUGAGCCUAGGUCGGAUUAGCUAGUUGGUGAGGUAAUGGCUCACCAAGGCGACGAUCCGUAACUGGUCUGAGAGGAUGAUCAGUCACACUGGAACUGAGACACGGUCCAGACUCCUACGGGAGGCAGCAGUGGGGAAUAUUGGACAAUGGGCGAAAGCCUGAUCCAGCCAUGCCGCGUGUGUGAAGAAGGUCUUCGGAUUGUAAAGCACUUUAAGUUGGGAGGAAGGGUUGUAGAUUAAUACUCUGCAAUUUUGACGUUACCGACAGAAUAAGCACCGGCUAACUCUGUGCCAGCAGCCGCGGUAAUACAGAGGGUGCAAGCGUUAAUCGGAAUUACUGGGCGUAAAGCGCGCGUAGGUGGUUUGUUAAGUUGGAUGUGAAAUCCCCGGGCUCAACCUGGGAACUGCAUUCAAAACUGACUGACUAGAGUAUGGUAGAGGGUGGUGGAAUUUCCUGUGUAGCGGUGAAAUGCGUAGAUAUAGGAAGGAACACCAGUGGCGAAGGCGACCACCUGGACUGAUACUGACACUGAGGUGCGAAAGCGUGGGAGCAAAC